Molecule: ribosomal RNA, 804 nt
Filed under: bacterium N05VIII
Lineage: Bacteria
Description: partial 16S ribosomal RNA
Source: RNAcentral
GUGGAUUACUUAAUGCUUUCGCUCAGUCACGCACGAUGUAUUGUGCACAACGAGUAAUCAUCGUUUACCGCGUGGACUACCAGGGUAUCUAAUCCUGUUCGCUCCCCACGCUUUCGUCCAUCAGCGUCAAUAAUGGCUUAGUAAGCUGCCUUCGCAAUUGGUGUUCUACGUUAUAUCUAUGCAUUUCACCGCUACAUAACGUAUUCCGCCUACCUCAACCAUAUUCAAGUUCUUCAGUUUCAAUGGCAGUUCCAGAGUUGAGCUCUGGGAUUUCACCACUGACUUAAAGAACCGCCUACGGACCCUUUAAACCCAAUAAAUCCGGAUAACGCUCGAAUCCUCCGUAUUACCGCGGCUGCUGGCACGGAGUUAGCCGAUCCUUAUUCAUACAGUACAUUCAAAUCACUACACGUAGCGACAAUUAUUCCUGUAAAAAAGCAGUUUACAACCCAUAGGGCCGUCAUCCUGCACGCGACAUGGCUGGUUCAGACUUGCGUCCAUUGACCAAUAUUCCUCACUGCUGCCUCCCGUAGAGUCUGGUCCGUGUCUCAGUACCAGUGUGGGGGACUAUCCUCUCAGACCCCCUAAGCAUCAUUGUCUUGGUGAGCCGUUACCUCACCAACUAACUAAUGCUACGCAUGCCAUCUUAUACCACCGGAGUUUUAAUAUUUAACCAUGCGAUUCAACAUAUUAUGCGGUAUUAAUCAGAUUUCUCUGGGCUAUCCCAGUAUAGGUAGGUUGCAUACGCGUUACUCACCGUGCGCGGUCGCAUCUUCUAGCAAGCUAGAAUGUGCCCUCGACUUG